GCUAUACUGCAAGUCGAGCGGACCGAAUGGGAGCUUGCUCUUGUUCGGUCAGCGGCGGACGGGUGAGUAACACGUGGGCAACCUGCCCGCAAGACCGGGAUAACUCCGGGAAACCGGAGCUAAUACCGGAUAACACCGAAGACCGCAUGGUCUUGGGUUGAAAGGCGGCGCAAGCUGCCACUUGCGGAUGGGCCCGCGGCGCAUUAGCUAGUUGGUGAGGUAACGGCUCACCAAGGCGACGAUGCGUAGCCGGCCUGAGAGGGUGACCGGCCACACUGGGACUGAGACACGGCCCAGACUCCUACGGGAGGCAGCAGUAGGGAAUCUUCCGCAAUGGGCGAAAGCCUGACGGAGCGACGCCGCGUGAGCGAAGAAGGCCUUCGGGUCGUAAAGCACUGUUGUGAGGGACGAAGGAGCGCCGUUUGAAGAAGGCGGCGCGGUGACGGUACCUCACGAGGAAGCCCCGGCUAACUACGUGCCAGCAGCCGCGGUAAUACGUAGGGGGCGAGCGUUGUCCGGAAUUAUUGGGCGUAAAGCGCGCGCAGGCGGUCCUUUAAGUCUGAUGUG
RNAcentral lists this ribosomal RNA (567 nucleotides) under uncultured bacterium. RNAcentral's name for it is "bacterial SSU rRNA". It matches the Rfam family "Bacterial small subunit ribosomal RNA", at positions 48 to 596 of the family's 1533-position model. The record is from RNAcentral.